CUUAAACAAUGGUAUUAUUAGUGCUGUGACCAAAUUGUUUCUUGUCAGUUAACUCUGAUUUUUUCCCUCUUCUUUUAAUUUUGUAAUGAGAGUCACUAUAUUUCUUAGCUCCAUUCCAAAAUAUUAACUGGGGAGCUGCUCAUUUAUAAUAGUGCCAAACUUCUGACAGACAGAAAUUAUAAAAGAGGCCCCAGAAAAGCAUCAGAAAAAAAGGGAAACUUUUAAACAGAAAUGGUAAUUUGAAAUACUGACCCUAGGUUUAAAAUUUAGAAAAGGCCUGUUUUCUGGAGCAGUCAUCUGGAUGGUCCAACAGCUCCCUCUACUCCUCCAAGAGGGAAACAUGAAACACAGCAGGGCUGUGUGGAAGUGUGAGCAGCCCAGGCUUGGGGAAAGCCACAUGUUUCCUUGUUCCAGCCAGGAGCUCCAAAAUGGCCUCUUUCUUCUUAUGUCGUACAUGAGCUCAUGCUGUUAAGAAACGUAAUCGUGGCGGCGCUGGGACUGAGGACAGAAGCAACUGCGUCAUGUGCAGUCCCGCACAGCAGAGGCGUUCCCCGCACCAGCAUCCUGCACAAGAGCCAGCAAAGAGAGGCGCGCGUGGAAUUAAAAUCCGGGGUAGCCCCCGGCUUCUCACUGAGCACCCACCACCAACAAUGCUCAGCAGUGGAACGUGGACCAACUAAGAGGCAACCCUUCCUGCUGCCGCUUCCGCAGUCAGAAGGUGAAGACAGAGAGCAAACCUCCAGGAGAGGGCUCUGCUCCACUUUCUCCGGGACAUGGACGGGGCAGGUGACUGUUUCACGCUGUCAUGGGACACAUCAACUUCCAUCCCUGCUUUACCAUAUUAAAUGCUCUACAGUGGAGCUUACUUGAAGAAACUGAAAAUUUGAGCAGCCAUCGGUCCUAUUAAAUAACAUAACUCACCUAAAGCAGAGAAUCCAUGGACCCAGUAGAAGUAAAUUGCUGACCCAGUUAAAAUCUAUGGAGAAUGUGUCCUACGGCAUAUCCACGAAUAUACCUUCAAAAGGAAAGAGGUUAUGUCCAAGCGAAGAUGAGGAAUAUCUGAGGUGAAACUUCAAACAUCUAGAGAAACAUUACAGUGCUGGCUCAGCAAUGGCGAGAUUGCUGUUGGAGCUGUCAGCAAGUCCACUUUUGAUCCACAUCUCUCCAGGAUGAAGG
Molecule: long non-coding RNA, 1176 nt
Filed under: Homo sapiens (human)
Lineage: Eukaryota; Metazoa; Chordata; Mammalia; Primates; Hominidae
Description: HSALNT0324817
Source: RNAcentral